UUUUCCGAUGCUAUUGGCUGGGAAAGUUAUUACUACCACAUCAUUUAAACAUCUUCUGAAUUCAUCAUCACAGACGCACGAUCGAAAAGUUUCACCUCUAAAUAAUUCAACAGUAAAUGAAAAACAAAUUAAUAUCUAUGUAAGGAUAUCCUGUUCAUUACUGGUACAUCGAACAAGGGUUCUACAACAUUUAUCUGCUUGAGCGAAUUUACCAAGGGAAACUCUACUAUCAGGAUCAGUUGUUUUGUCGAGACACCAGUUAGUACCUGUACAAAAAUUAAAAAGCAUUAUUUAUUUAAAAGUGAAUUUUUUAAAUUAUAGCUGAUAUUAAAUUUUACCUUGUCGAGCCAAAAAGAGCUCAAGGUCAAAGAACCUUUUGGUUCUGGUGUACGUUGAGUUAUUAUCAGCAGAGGGCAUCGUUUCUAUUUCAUCCAACACUGUGAUAGGUUUGUCUGAAUCAUCAACUGGAGCAGCUGAUGAACUCAUCCAUACAGCACAUAGCACCGAGAUGAUGAAAAGCUAAUGGCAAACCAGUGACAAUGUUAAUGAAAACUGGUGUUUUAUGAAAGAAUACAAACUACGUGUUAGGAUUUUAGAGUCGAGCUUUUACAUUUGUAUCAGAAAUAUCAAAAAUUGUUGAGCGUCAUUGAAUGAUGUAGAUUUUUUUUUUUGUAAUGAAUUACAAUUCUUUCAAAAUUUAUUGUAGAUAUAUUUCCACUAGGGAAUACUAAUUAAUCAACCGAUUUUCUGAUCAAUCAUUAUUAAGUUUGAUCGAAUUUGCUUCUAAUGUACUUGAGCGUUCUUUGAUAACCUCUAGUUUUAGAAAUAAUAAGACUUAUUAUAAGUUCAAAGUCUUCUUGAUUUUUUUGUUCCAAUUUAUUCAAAUCUUAAAUUAAUUGCUCGUGAAAAAAGAAAAUAAAACUACACAGAUUUGUUCAAAUAUAUAUUUUUGACACAAUUGGAUCUACUUUAUUCUGCAAACAUCAACUUUAAUCUUUCAACUUAAAUCUUUGUAGAUAUAUUAUGAUUUAUGUAAAUAAGGGUGUAUCUAGACAUUAAUCUCACUUGAUUUUAUAGAUCUAUUAGCGUUUUCGAGCACGAAAACUCACCGUACGGUGAGAUGAGCGAUCAUUGCCGAUUACACCUGAAGUUUAAAUUUGAAUGCCAGUAAUUGCCGCUUUUUUAAAUUGUAGGUUAGAUUAAUAAUAAAUUGAAUGUGAAUAAAAUAGUUAAUUACACGUUUAUAACCAAGGUAUGUAUAUACAAAUAAUAAAUAAAAUAUUCAUUUGUUUUUAGAUUCAAUAAGUAGAUCUUGUUAAGUUUGUGAUACAUUCAUAUUGAUAAGGUUGGCUACAAUGAGAGGUGUUUGAUGUGCAUGGGGUAUGUUUCAGAGUCAGUUGACUCAGUAUAUUCAGAAAGUAUAGAAAAAAGAAUUGUUUAUUUCCUUUUUUUCUAAAUAAAAAAUCAUUAUUAUAAAAUAAAAUUAUAUCAUCUUUUAGAUUUGAAUAAAA
Long non-coding RNA from Chelonus insularis, 1511 nucleotides. RefSeq lists it as uncharacterized. The record is from RefSeq and is a predicted model, not a curated record. Lineage: Eukaryota; Metazoa; Arthropoda; Insecta; Hymenoptera; Braconidae. The transcript has 2 exons.